This 661-nucleotide long non-coding RNA is filed under the name Pongo abelii (Sumatran orangutan). Its description in RNAcentral is "lncRNA (ENSPPYG00000038208.1)". Lineage: Eukaryota; Metazoa; Chordata; Mammalia; Primates; Hominidae. The record is from RNAcentral.
GCCUCAGAUUCCUUUAUCACCCCCUAGGCCGGAGCUGGCGCGACCAAUAAGGUGCCAGGUCCGCGGCCUCCCCGCCACCGACCAAUCACGAGCGAGCCCCCCCGCCGUCGCCUUCCGCCAAUGGGAGAAAGCCCGCGGGCCGGGCCGACGAGGCACACGGACCCCACGAGCGCGGCGGCGGCGGCGACAGCGGCGGGCCAGGCAAGAGCACAACAUGGCGGCGGGCAGGACGGACCGAGCUACAGCAGCGGCCGCGCGAGGAAGUGAGACUCUAUUCCUAGCCCUGGCGGAGAAUGUGAAGAUGAGGCCAGAGGGAACAUUGAGAAGAAGGAUCUCAGAGAAGAAGGAAAAUUCAACAGAACCUAGGAAAUGCAACUGCUAUUGCCUGGGCCUUUGUUCCUGGAAUGGACUCUGCAUGAUGCAGCUUGGAGGACAUCUCCUCUGGGAUCCCUCCCCACUGCCCCCACCACUUCCUGGAGUGAAUGAGUCCUCUGUAGCCAUCAGGAUUCGCUGUAUCAGGAGUGUUCCUCUGCUGUCACCUCUGAUGACUAUUUUCCUCAAUUCAGAAUCCCCAGCACCUGCAAAAGGUCUGGAUCAAGAAGGGGCUGAGCAGGAACAGAGGAUUGCAGUUCUUAGGAUGGCCACGCGAGGGAAGUGGUGA